CAGGGACCGACCUCCCUUCCAAGAAAUGGAAGACUUCCGACAAGGAGAACCUUCCAUAUUUCCGAAUAUGGAAGAGUUAAACCUAAACCAAACCAACUUCAAGACGACUAUAUAAGAGUUCCUAAAUCCCUGAUGCAAGGGAUCGACUUCUCCAAGGCUUAGAGAUUAGAACUAGACGGCUAGAAUUAGGGUUCUUACCUGAUACCUUGUAACCUCGCUUGUUCUUUCUUGUUCUAUCUUAUAAAAGUCUCUUCAAGCCUAUAUCUUCGUUAUCUUACUAAAUCCCCACGAAACAUAC
RNAcentral lists this long non-coding RNA (298 nucleotides) under Brassica napus (rape). RNAcentral's name for it is "long non-coding RNA (BNAP_LNC011631)". Lineage: Eukaryota; Viridiplantae; Streptophyta; Magnoliopsida; Brassicales; Brassicaceae. The record is from RNAcentral.